AGCCAAACAAGUAUUAAAGGCGACGCCUGCCCAGUGAACAAUUAAACGGCCGCGGUACCCUAACCGUGCAAAGGUAGCAUAAUCAUUUGUCUACUAAUUAUAGACCUGUAUGAAAGGCAAAAUGAGGGUCUAGCUGUCUCUUAUAAUUAAUCAAUUAAACUGAUCUUCCAGUUAAAAAGCUGGAAUACAAACAUAAGACCAGAAGACCCUGUGAAGCUUAAACUAAACCAUUAAAUCAAAUAAUGAUAACUUUCGGUUGGGGCGACCUUGGAAAAAAAAAGAACUUCCAACACAGUGAUUAUAACCCACUAACCCUAGGCCUACAAGCCAAUAAAGACCCAGUAUACCUGAUAAAAGAACCAAGUUACUCCAGGGAUAACAGCGCAAUCUUCUUCAAGAGCCCAUAUCAAAAGGAAGGUUUACGACCUCGAUGUUGGAUCAGGACAUCCUGAUGGUGCAACCGCUAUCAAAGGUUCGUUUGUUCAACGAUUAAUAGUCCU
This 500-nucleotide ribosomal RNA is filed under the name Dasypeltis fasciata. RNAcentral's name for it is "partial 16S ribosomal RNA". It matches the Rfam family "Bacterial large subunit ribosomal RNA", at positions 1824 to 2597 of the family's 2925-position model. Lineage: Eukaryota; Metazoa; Chordata; Lepidosauria; Squamata; Colubridae. The record is from RNAcentral.